RNAcentral lists this ribosomal RNA (447 nucleotides) under uncultured bacterium. RNAcentral describes it as "bacterial SSU rRNA". It matches the Rfam family "Bacterial small subunit ribosomal RNA", at positions 30 to 477 of the family's 1533-position model. The record is from RNAcentral.
AUUGAACGCUGGCGGCAUGCUUUACACAUGCAAGUCGAACGGCAGCGGGGGCUUCGGCCUGCCGGCGAGUGGCGAACGGGUGAGUAAUACAUCGGAACGUGUCCUUAAGUGGGGAAUAACGCAUCGAAAGAUGUGCUAAUACCGCAUAUCUCUCAGGAGGAAAGCAGGGGAUCGAAAGACCUUGCGCUAAAGGAGCGGCUGAUGUCUGAUUAGCUAGUUGGUGGGGUAAAGGCUUACCAAGGCAACGAUCAGUAGCUGGUCUGAGAGGACGACCAGCCACACUGGGACUGAGACACGGCCCAGACUCCUACGGGAGGCAGCAGUGGGGAAUUUUGGACAAUGGGCGAAAGCCUGAUCCAGCCAUGCCGCGUGAGUGAAGAAGGCCUUCGGGUUGUAAAGCUCUUUUAGUCGGAAAGAAAGAGUCAUAGUAAAUAGCUAUGAUUUAUG